Molecule: non-coding RNA, 1368 nt
Organism: Delphinapterus leucas (beluga whale)
Lineage: Eukaryota; Metazoa; Chordata; Mammalia; Artiodactyla; Monodontidae
Source: RefSeq, a predicted model, not a curated record
UGUGGAUGCUGCAUUUCCUGAAUGUUAAGUAGGAGCGACACUGUGUAAUUUUGCUAAUCCUUUUCCAGAAGUAGGAUUUUGUGAAAUGACAGGACUGCAAAGCAAACCAUCGAGCAGUAGCCAAGAGAACAGCGAAAGAGGAAGAAAAAAGUCCUGGAAAGGAUCAGAAAUAGAGCAGCCCACGAACUGCUGUCUUGGGAGGAAGAACUUCGCAGAUGAAAAAACAAACUUGGAGAAGUCAAACGACUCGCCAGAAGUCAUUCAGUAAUUUGACAGCCAAGAUCUGGAAGCCAGUUCUUCCAGGGCUCUGCUCAGCUCCAAGACCCGAAUUAAAACAGCACUUCAGCCGUGAAGCAUCCCUGACAGCCAGACCUGCAUCCCUGCAUCUCUCUCCCCUCCAGCUCCUAUGGGCGUUCUGGGGUGCCCACGAUGAGCUACAUUGUGAUCCCUGAGCCCUUUGACUCCAUUGUCAACACCCAUUGCCUAAACCAGUGGUUCUCACUAGGGCAAUGUCUGCCGCCUAGGAGACACUUGGCAGUGUCUGGAGAAAUUUUUAUGGUUAUGAUCUGGGGGAGGCACCUAGCGAGUGGAGGCCAGGGGUGUUGCUGAACAUCCUACAAUGCAUAGGACAGCUGCCCACACAAAAAAUUAUCUAGCCCAGAUGUCAAUAGUGCUGAGGCUGAGAAACCCUGUCCUGAGCUGGCCCUGAAUGAGUGCCUUGAGGGCAGGGCUGUGUCUUGUUUAAUGCUGUGCGCCAGGCUCUAUGACCCAGGCUCUAUGACCCCUGGCACACAGGAGGUACUCAAAUGUUGAUGAGGUGGAAUGGUUAGGGGGUGGGUCUAAAGAGAAAGCCAAUCUUGGCCCCAGUAGUGCACAGCUGAGUCAGGGAAGGGACCACAUGCACAAGGCUCUCCUCCACACAAACAACUCAACCGAGACAGGAUGGCCCUGACGUGGAUUGCUGAGAGGGGCUUCACGAGUGUGGGUAGAGGGCCUUAGAAUUGUUUGUUUACUUGGGCUGUUAAGGUAGCAAGAACAGAAACCCAGGGCUCCUUGAGAGAUGGAACGUUCACUGUAAAGAGAUGUGGGAAUAGAAACCAGGCCUUAGGAAAAGCAGAGCAGCUGCAGGAAGGCUGGACUGGGAACUGUCACCCUGGCAACUUCCAUUAAGAAGAUGAAGGUAAAGCCCUGUCUCUUCCUUCCAUCCGGCCCCACCCUACCCCCAGGUUCAUUCAGACUUUCCUGGUUACCCUUGACCUGGGCCCCUACCAGGGCCAACUUAUCCAUUAGUCGCAGUGCCUAAGGCCCUCGAUGCUUUUUAGGAGCCCACAGAAGUGUUUUAAUUUUAAUUUCUUUUAAAAUUAGAAG